AGUGAACGCUGGCGGUAGGCCUAACACAUGCAAGUCGAACGGCAGCACAGUAAGAGCUUGCUCUUACGGGUGGCGAGUGGCGGACGGGUGAGGAAUACAUCGGAAUCUACUUUUUCGUGGGGGAUAGCGUAGGGAAACUUACGCUAAUACCGCAUACGACCUACGGGUGGAAGCAGGGGAUCUUCGGACCUUGCGCGAUUGAAUGAGCCGAUGUCGGAUUAGCUAGUUGGCGGGGUAAAGGCCCACCAAGGCGACGAUCCGUAGCUGGUCUGAGAGGAUGAUCAGCCACACUGGAACUGAGACACGGUCCAGACUCCUACGGGAGGCAGCAGUGGGGAAUAUUGGACAAUGGGCGCAAGCCUGAUCCAGCCAUACCGCGUGGGUGAAGAAGGCCUUCGGGUUGUAAAGCCCUUUUGUUGGGAAAGAAAAGCAGCAGGUUAAUACCCCGCUGUUCUGACGGUACCCAAAGAAUAAGCACCGGCUAACUUCGUG
This 492-nucleotide ribosomal RNA is filed under the name uncultured bacterium. Its description in RNAcentral is "partial 16S ribosomal RNA". It matches the Rfam family "Bacterial small subunit ribosomal RNA", at positions 29 to 507 of the family's 1533-position model. The record is from RNAcentral.